Molecule: unclassified non-coding RNA, 185 nt
Filed under: uncultured Rozellomycota
Lineage: Eukaryota; Fungi; Rozellomycota
Description: uncultured Cryptomycota sequence contains ITS2
Source: RNAcentral
ACACGAUCAACUCUAGUUAGAGUUGGCAUUGACCUCAUGUGCUGUCAAGGUGCAUUUGGUUUGAAUGGAUCAAGUUGAUGGGCUUCCCAGCGAUGCUCGAUGUGUGCUAGCGAGACAGUCGUCCCGAUCUCACAUUAUUGUUUCGUUGCAGAGCUCUAAUCACAGCUUGUUAACUAUCAUAUCUA